RNAcentral lists this ribosomal RNA (253 nucleotides) under uncultured bacterium. RNAcentral describes it as "partial 16S ribosomal RNA". It matches the Rfam family "Bacterial small subunit ribosomal RNA", at positions 524 to 776 of the family's 1533-position model. The record is from RNAcentral.
UACGGAGGAUCCGAGCGUUAUCCGGAUUUAUUGGGUUUAAAGGGAGCGUAGGUGGAUUGUUAAGUCAGUUGUGAAAGUUUGCGGCUCAACCGUAAAAUUGCAGUUGAAACUGGCAGUCUUGAGUACAGUAGAGGUGGGCGGAAUUCGUGGUGUAGCGGUGAAAUGCAUAGAUAUCACGCAGAACCCCGAUUGCGAAGGCAGCAUGCCGGCUUCCGACUGACGCUGAAGCACGAAAGCGUGGGGAUCGAACAGG